This is a non-coding RNA of Mycena crocata, 83 nucleotides long. The record is from the annotation of a GenBank genome assembly. Lineage: Eukaryota; Fungi; Basidiomycota; Agaricomycetes; Agaricales; Mycenaceae.
UCCGAUAUGGUGUAGCGGGAACAUAGGUGCUUUUCAUUGAUAAUUUGACGCACUUGCCCGGGGUUCGACUCCCCGUCUCGGAA